AUUGAACGCUGGCGGCAGGCCUAACACAUGCAAGUCGAACGGUAACAGGAAGAAGCUUGCUUCUUUGCUGACGAGUGGCGGACGGGUGAGUAAUGUCUGGGAAACUGCCUGAUGGAGGGGGAUAACUACUGGAAACGGUAGCUAAUACCGCAUAACGUCGCAAGACCAAAGAGGGGGACCUUCGGGCCUCUUGCCAUCGGAUGUGCCCAGAUGGGAUUAGCUAGUUGGUGGGGUAACGGCUCACCAAGGCAACGAUCCCUAGCUGGUCUGAGAGGAUGACCAGCCACACUGGAACUGAGACACGGGCCAGACUCCUACGGGAGGCAGCAGUGGGGAAUAUUGCACAAUGGGCGCGAGCCUGAUGCAGCCAUGCCGCGUGUAUGAAGAAGGCCUUCGGGUUGUAAAGUACUUUCAGCGGGGAGGAAGGGAGUAAAGUUAAUACCUUUGCUCAUUGACGUUACCCGCAGAAGAAGCACCGGCUAACUCCGUGCCAGCAGCCGCAGUAA
RNAcentral lists this ribosomal RNA (506 nucleotides) under uncultured bacterium. RNAcentral's name for it is "partial 16S ribosomal RNA". It matches the Rfam family "Bacterial small subunit ribosomal RNA", at positions 30 to 523 of the family's 1533-position model. The record is from RNAcentral.